RNAcentral lists this ribosomal RNA (434 nucleotides) under uncultured bacterium. RNAcentral describes it as "bacterial SSU rRNA". It matches the Rfam family "Bacterial small subunit ribosomal RNA", at positions 29 to 507 of the family's 1533-position model. The record is from RNAcentral.
AACGAACGCUGGCGGCAGGCCUAACACAUGCAAGUCGAGCGAACCCUUCGGGGUUAGCGGCGGACGGGUUAGUAACGCGUGGGAAUAUACCCUUUGGUACGGAAUAGCCUCGGGAAACUGAGAGUAAUACCGUAUGUGCCCUUCGGGGGAAAGAUUUAUCGCCAAAGGAUUAGCCCGCGUUGGAUUAGAUAGUUGGUGGGGUAAUGGCCUACCAAGUCUACGAUCCAUAGCUGGUUUGAGAGGAUGAUCAGCAACACUGGGACUGAGACACGGCCCAGACUCCUACGGGAGGCAGCAGUGGGGAAUCUUAGACAAUGGGCGCAAGCCUGAUCUAGCCAUGCCGCGUGGACGAUGAAGGCCUUAGGGUUGUAAAGUCCUUUCAGAUGGGAAGAUAAUGACGGUACCAUCAGAAGAAGCCCCGGCUAAACUCCGUG